UGUUCAGAAGUGUGUCGGGUUAUUAGUGGGGUUAAUAUUGAUAGUUGUAUGGCUACUAUUUUGCUCAUUUUGAUUCCCAAAGUCCCUCAUCCAGACUCUCUGUCCCAGUUUCGUCCCAUUAGCCUUUGCUCUGUGGCUUAUAAGAUCAUCAUUAAGAUCUUGGCUGAUCAGUUGAAACUCGUCUUGCCUUGUUUGGUGAGUCCGACUCAAACAAGUUUUAUUCUAGGAUGACAUACUACUGACAGUAUAGUUAUUGCUCAAGAAGUAAUUCAACAUAUGAAAGCAAAGGCUAAGCAGAGGGGUUAUAUGGCAAUUAAAGUGGAUUUGGAAAAAGCCUAUGAUCAUGUUCAGUGGAACUUUUUAAGAGAGUCUUUGGUGAAGGCUGGGCUUCUGAUAUCUUUUUUUAGUUGUAUUAUGAAGUGCACUACCUCCUGUUCAAUGCGGAUUCUAUUGAAUGGGGGUAUGACUAAAGCUUUUAGCCCAUCUAGAGGUGUGAGAUAGGGCGACCCAUUAUCGCCAUAUCUGUUUGUUUUCUGCAUGGAAAGGUUGGCUCGUGGUAUUCAGCAAGCGAUGGAUAAUGGUUGCUGGAAGCCCUUAAAGUUGUGUCGAAAUGGUCCUCUUCUUUCACAUUUAUUUUUUGCGAACGAUCUCAUUCUUUUCGCUAAGCCUCUUCGAAACAAGCUACAGUUAUUCAGGGGGUGCUUGAUGAAUUUUGUAAAUGUUCGAGGCAAAAGGUGAAUGUAUCUAAAACUAAAGUCUAUUUUUCAAAGAAUGUUACAAUUCAAACCAGAAGGAUUUUAGGGGAAUUACUAGGCUUCUCAAUUUCUAGUGACCUUGGGACUUAUUUGGAAUUGGGAGUUCCUUUACUUCACUUACAAGUGUGUCGAGCCACUUAUCAAUAUGUUCUUGAUCGGGUUCAGAAACGAUUGUCUGGGUGGAAUGCAUCUCAUUUAUCUUUGGCUGGUCAAAUUACUUUAGCGCAGUCUGCUUUAACUGCCAUGCUGACAUUUACUAUGCAAACUGUGAAACUUUCGUCUUAUAUUUGAGAUGAAAUUGAGAAGGCUUGCCCAAAAUUUGUUGGGGGUUCGCUGGAUGGUAAUAGAAAGAUUGCCUUAGUUCCAUGGCAGGAUGUUCAGAAGCCGAAGGAUGAAGGUCGUUUGGGUAUUAGAGAUAUUCAUCUUCUCAACCAAUCCUUUAUUUUAAAAAUGUGUUGGGGUUUGGUUUCAAAUCCAGAGUCUUUCUGGGUUCGUGUUCUUCGCUCCAAAUACAAAGUUAGUCAUGAUUUGGUUCCAGAUGAAUUAGGAAGACGAAGUGGUUCUAUGUUGUGGCGUGCAAUGCAUGACAGUUGUGAAUGAAUACACAUAAUCUUGAAAGCUAUUUUUAUCUGUGCUAUAAUGGUGUCUGAUGGUUUAAGGCCUUCUGAUGUGUUUGCUGAAGACGUAUGUUAUACCGGCUUAGUUCACAAAGAAAAAUAUUAUAUGGUAAUUAAACUUAUGAUGCGAUGUCUAUAUUUCGACUGAAUUUAGUCCAUUACUAUGUAAAUAGUUUAAUAAAACUAUAUAUAGUUUUUAAAAUGGAUUUGCGUAGAUAUUUCAUGAGAUUUUUUGUUGUAAUUUUUGCUUUAUGAAUUUAGUGCAACCGAGGCUUGUUGGUACGGUUCCUUGACACCAAGUUUUAACAGUGGAUACGUUGUAGAUGGUGUUCAUACUGUUUAAAAUAUGGGGCUAGUUGUGGUGCUGUUUUCAUGUUUGAUGAAAUUUAUUAAUUCUAAUUUUGAUUAAUUCCUACAUUUAAUUACUUAUCUUCUUCAAAUUUUUAUUUAAUUUGAUUCGGUUUUGGUCUAAAACUUGCAGCACCAAAGUGACUACAAAUCUCAAUCACAAUAACCAGACAUAUUUUGUUCUUUGUUGCAGGGCCGUCAUGGCCAUAGCCAACCACAAUAUGGGCAAAGAUAUUUUAAAACUUCACAAAAAUGUAAAUAAACUAAAAAAUUAAAAAAAUAUAUAUUAAAACACGAAGAAACAAUAAGAAAUUAAAUAAAAUUCUUUUCCUAAUUCUUUAAUUGGAAUCUAAACUUUUACAAAAAUUUAAUUCAAUAUAAUUGAUUUCCUUUUUAUUAAUUCUUUGAUUGGAAUGAAAGAAUUCAAUUCUU
Molecule: unclassified non-coding RNA, 2152 nt
Filed under: Hevea brasiliensis (rubber tree)
Lineage: Eukaryota; Viridiplantae; Streptophyta; Magnoliopsida; Malpighiales; Euphorbiaceae
Source: RNAcentral